This 7284-nucleotide long non-coding RNA is filed under the name Taeniopygia guttata (zebra finch). Its description in RNAcentral is "lncRNA (ENSTGUG00000022645.1)". The record is from RNAcentral. Lineage: Eukaryota; Metazoa; Chordata; Aves; Passeriformes; Estrildidae.
AGAAGAUUGUCAGAAAGCUGCCUCCUCCCUAGAUGCAGUUUAAGUGAACACUGGGAAUAUUUUCCAUGUCUUUUUUGACUGAACCAUCCCCAGGGGGUGUUGAUACAGCCAUCAGUGAUACAACUUAAACCUGAUGCCCUGGUGAUCUUUUAGUAACAAAGAAUGACAGGAAAAAUUGAAGAUUUAUAGGUAGUCAGUGGUUAUCUAUGCAGUGAAGAGGGUUUUUGUUUCCUCUGUGAAGUGUAUCUUCAUGUCAGCAGUUCUUAUUCAAUGCUGAUUAUCCAUUUAUUCUUCUCCAGCUUUCUAAUUUUUAAUUCCUGUGCUUUCUUCCUCACAGGAAAGUAAGAUGAACCAUUUUAGCUAUAAGUGGAAUAAUAUUAAAUGUGAAAAAAUUGGGUUCAGAGCCAUCAGAAAGUGAAUGCCACAGUAGGGGCAUUAUGGAGGGGUUGUCUUUGGACCUCUAAUUGAAGCAUCUCAAAACUUUUCAAGAAUAUUCAUGUUUGAUUUAAGUUUGGAACUGACAUCCUUCAAUUUGCUACACUGAAAUAGCAUUUGCUUAUGCUAUAAUUUGUUUCAUUUCCCAGCUCUCCUCUGAGCCUGAGCCAUCCUAUGUGAUGGAGUUGCAGCUGCCUGCUGGAGAGUGAAGUGAAAUAUGUGCCUGUGUCUUGGGAGGAGGAACUGGCACAGACACAAUGCACUGAAUCUCAGAUGAUGAUGCCUGGUCCCUUAUUCCACUUCCCAGGCAGUUCCAGCACAUGUGAGGGUCCUUUUGUGCUUGCCUGUGCUUUUUCCACACUCCAAGUGUGCUUUAGGGGAGAACAUGGACCUCCUGCUCUGUGUGGGUGGUUAAGAGUGUGACAUCCUUUCCCAGAUUUAUUUUUGUUCCCAGCUGGUUCAUUCUGGAUUUUCCCUCUUUGAGGAUGUUUGUUGUAUGUAGCUGGUGUUUAAUGCUGGAGAGACCUGACUCAUUCUAUCAGGGUAAUUGAUACUGACCUAAUUACACAGAUGAGUUUUGCACUGGAAUUUUUAAUGGCACUUAAUAAUUAUAAGAGUCCUUAAUUCCCUGUGUCUGAUUCAGUCCUUUGCCUCGUGUGGUUUCAAAGAGCAAGGGCAUUGGAUGGAAUUAUUUUCUUUAUUUUGUGUUGGGUAACUCUCCAUGCCCCCUGCCUGGGAAGCAAGGGGAGCUGCUGCUGUUUAACCUCUCCAUGGAGAAAGCUGUGCCUGAAUCCAGUGACACACUGUUGUUCCUCAUCCAAACAGGAUAUGGAUGACUCUGAGCUCUGUAGGAGAUUGCCAAGGUCAGAUGAGGAUAGGGAGACUCUCAGCACAGCUCUGCCCAGGAAACCCUUAAGCCACAUUUGCUGAAUGGGAACCCUCCUAGACAAGAUCCAUCUUGUUCCAUCGUGUGGAUGGUGCCUGUCUGGAGAGGAGGCUCCUGCACAAUCCAGGAGAGUCACUCCACACCUUCCUAACUGUGAAUGUGCAGGGCUGUGUCCCAGAGCACUGCAGCAAGGAGAAGCCCAGGUGCUAGUCAUCACCUCUCCAGUUUCCAGCCCCAGCAGCUGUGCCCUUCCUUCCCCAGCACUCCAGCCAGGCAGGAAUGCUGCCAAGGCCAGCCUCACGUGGAGCAGCUGAAGUGGUAAAUGAUGCCCUUCACCUGCCUGUAUCUGGUGCACCGAAAUAUUUUAGAGGCUUUUUUUCCCCCUUCUGUCUGCAUCUUGUCCGUGAUUUCAAGUGAAGCACAGUGGUUUUGAAAAACCCAUGGAUAGUUUAUUUCCAGAUGUGUGUUUACACCUUGCAUAUCUCUGGGGGCUAAACAGAUGCCAGAUCACCCGUGUGGGUGUAGUUCUGUGAGAGUAAGCAGAUAAACAUGGUGCUCCAGAGCUGAUGUUAUUGUUUCUAUCCCCAGAAGGGAGAUCUGUGAAAGGAAAGGGCACAAACUGCAGAAGAAAACAACCAGCCUUUCAUUUAGUCUCCUGGCAUCUGCUUGAAUAAACUGGUGCUGCUUUAACAUUACAUUAAGCAUCCCUCCCACCUACUUUUUGAAUUCGUCUCAAGUUUCUUUUAUUUUGAUCUAUUCUGAAUAUCCCAGGGUCUGGAAUUUGUCUUUUAUAAUGAUAUAUGACUCAGCAUGAUGCCAGCCUCAGCUCCAGGGAAUCUUUGUUCAUGUUGAGAUCUGAAAAUCUUUAUAAACAUACACUUGGAGGAAAAAUAGUUUGGUAUUCAAGAAGCAGGAUAAAGAGUUAGAAGAGCUCCAAGUGCUCUUAGCAGCUGUGUCAUAUCUUACUGGGCUGACAUAGAGUAAAUCCACAGCCCAUCCAUAUUUUCAAUAUGCACACAGUUUGGGUUUCCUCAUCCCAAAAGGACGGAGGGGAACUGCAAAAGGUGCAGAAGGAGACCACACAUAGCAGCUUCAGUCUUUGUGAGGUGUAAGUCUUGGAUUUGGGAAGGAAUGACUGAGGAAAGGGCUACAGAAUCGAGAGUAGCCUGGAAAAGCAAAUGAGGGGCUUCAACAGGAGUGAGCCAGAGGCACAGGAAAAACUUAUGGGCUCUUUUACACUCAGGCACUGGAUUUUCCUGAUACCAAACUAAACCUCCCCUGACUCAGCUUCAUACCUUUUCCCCAAGUCCUGUUGAUAAAUAACAUAGAGAAUAUAAAUUUUUAGUUCCCCUGACAUUGCUGGGCAGAGCCUAAAGACUAACUAGCAAAAAAGAUGAAAGAAUGUAAAGGCAUGCACUCAGGAUGAUAAAUGUACCUGAAAAUGUAUAUGUGCAGAAACAGAUAAUGAGGUCUAUAGUGGGUUUCUGGUAAGUUAUGUAACAAGAAGCAGCAGUGCAUGCCCAAAGAAAAAGUUGAAGGAAAGGUCACCCGUAAUAUUGAAGGAUUCAGUGAGUACAACCACCAGAGACCCCUUUACAUGAAUCUCCAGGACCAUAAAAAUCUCCAGUAGGAGAUUGAUGACUGCAAAUUAGUUCUAGGAAAAGUGAUGUUUAUGUAUUAGCUAGGAGGCACAUUGUAAUGAAUAUGUAUGAUUAUGAUGAAGUAAAAACCCUGCUGCAAAGUCUCACCACACACCUCAGAUUGAAGGAGAUCUCCUCCUAUGUGUCCCGUGCUGUUAAAGAAUGCCUGCUUUGUAAUGCUUCAAGUUGUGUUGGGAAGUUUAUUUUCUGGCCGAUUUUGGGAUCACUGUCACUGGGAGGAUCCACUGAGGUCUCCCCUCAGUCUCCUCUUGUCCAGCCUGGUCAGACCAAGUGACCUCAGCUGCUCCUCACACAGCUUCUCCUCCAGACCCUUCACCAUCCUGGCAUCCUCCAGCAGAGCCCAACAGACCCCCUCAGCUUGCACUGCCUUCAUGUCACAGCCAGGUUUUCAUUUGGAUCCGUGCCUGCUCAGUGAGGAAGGUUAAGCUGGGCUCCUCUGUGGUCAUUCAGCACAAACCCAGCUGGGGAUGAGCCACCAGCAAGAGCCUGGGGAGGCCAACAAGGGCCUGGCAGAGAAACCAGCCUGGGAGAGCAAGGGAAGAUUGGGAUUGCAGAGAUUUGAGUGAUAUAAAGUCUGUCUUUCACUAGAGGGUUUUACAGAGUGGCUGGAAGCAAGGGAGGGCAUUGAAAGCUGUUUGAGGUACCCUGGCUUCUCUGUGCUGAGGUUUUUUUGACUGUUCCUAAACCCUCCCCUUCUAACCAAUGGUGCUGGCGUGUCAGUAGAGCUUAAGAUUUGAGAUUGCAACUCUUCUAUAUAAAAUUCCUGUCUUCUGAUUUUACUCUAUUAGGCCAAAAUGCUGCAUAGACAAUCCUAUUUACAGGCAUGAGGCAGCUGCUUUUCAUUAGGAUCAUUUGCCAUAAGCCCAGCUGCCAAAUUAUUUCUGCAUUUAAAGGAUGACUGUCUCGGCCCCUGUGCUCCAUGGCCAGCAGGCUGCCAGGUGGCAGCAGGUCAACCAUUUCCACCCAAAUCAGGGCUGGAGACCUCAAAGCCUUGUACAAAUCAGCCCAGCUGGGCACAAAUGCCCCAACCAGGAGGGUUUUUGAUGGGGGCUGGUGGCUGAGAGCCACCAAGCAGCCUCACCAGGGGAUAUUAAGGUCCUGUUCCACUGCAGGCAGACCUAUUUGUUGAAAAUCCCUAUCAGUGUGUUGCUGGAUGAGCUGGGCCCUGCAGAAUUAUCUACAGCAUGAGAUCCUCCCUGGCUCAGCAUGGGUGGCACUCCGCUGGGGUGACCAAGUUACUAUUUUACAAAUCCCCUUUCCAAGCACACCUCUUACUACCUUUUUAAAAAUUUGAUGUUGAUUUUCAGAGCCAUUAAAGGUUGCAAUGCUUGCUCAGUCUAUUUUUUUUUUUUUUAAACCAACAAUUAUUUUGGCUUGCUCCAGGUGGGAUUUUUCUUUCUGGCUGGUGAGUUGCUGUGGCUGCUGGCAGUUGUUCAGCCGAUGCAAUCUGUUGCUCAGCUGGUUUUUGUUCCUUCCCAGCCCAGCCAGCCAGGACAGAGGGGAAGUGUCACACACCCGACACGGGCCAGCUUUUUGGCCUGACUGCUGUUUUUAACAUCUGGAUUCCUUCAUGAGGAGUCAUUAACAGAAAUAAAAGAGAGUUCAGGCUGAAGGGGGAGGAAGUUCCCCUUCGAUAGCUCAAUGUUAGGGGAUGUUCACGUUUGUGGCACAGUCACUGGGGGAAUUGGAUGUAUUUCUGAUUCUCUCUCCAAGAGCUGAUGCUGAGGGUGAUGGCAGCUGCCAGCGUGGGCCCAGUCAUCCUCCCUGCAGGCACGCACAGAGCAGCUGGGAUUUAGGCUGAGCUCAUGUCUGCCUUGAAAUCAGGCAGGGCUUUGCCACUGGCUUUGUUGUACAGCCCCAGCACACACAAAUGUUUCUGAGCACCCAUUCCCCACGGGGUUUUCAUCAAAAUACCUGACUUUUGCUGGAAGCUGGAGGCACCACAGCUCAUGUCUGGGUGAUUUCGAAGGGUGUGCUGCCAGGCACAGUCUUUGGGAGUCAUUUGCUCCCUGCACAGAGCAGGAAGAAGAAUCCAUCUCUUUUAUUGCCUUUGGUCCCCCAGCGGCUUCACGGCAUGGGCUUACAGAGCAGCGCCUCCUGCAGCCUUUCAGAGCUGGGAUUUGUCCUCAUUUUUAUGAUUUCUUGGAUUUUCAACAUUUGCCUUCACUUCUGCUCUGUGUGAGAGUCUUUAGCAAGAGCAGGAAGUGGAAACUAUCGUCAUGCUCCAGAACCACACGUAAUUAACAGCACUGGAGGAAAAACUGGUGCCAUGUUCUCACUUUGAACUUCUGCUAUUUCUUAAACCACUUCCUGACUGCAGUAUCAUCUUGAAAGCACCAGUUUCUUUGGUUUUGUUAUUUUGUUUUGGUUUUUUUUUUUUCCCUUUUCACACUCCAGCAAUCCCUGCUGCCUUUCUCCAGCACCUUCCAGUUUGUCCCUUUGCAGACCCAGCCACGCCGGCCUGGAACGGGGACCGCCCCAGGCAAAGUGCAGCUGGUCCUGUGUCAGCAUCAGGCCAGGAUCCGUGCCACCCCUUGGCACCCCAUUCCUGAGCAGGCAGGGAGUAAAUCCCAUCAUUCUGGCCACAGCCUUUGUGGCAGCUGUUUUAUUUCUAAUUAGGAUCCCCCUCGCUCUUCCCCAGCUGUGCAAUAACGAACCAGCACGGAGAGGAACAGCGGAGUGUCGUGGCCGCCUCCCCCGCAGGAAAGCGGCGGUGGCGGGCGGGGUGGCCCCGGUGACAAACCGCGUUCCUCAGCCCCGGGCAUCGCAGUCAUCCCGAAAGUAAAUGUGGGGCGGUGCUGGCCCGUCCCUUGUCCCUGUCCUGUGCAUCGCCACCUUCCCUAGGCCAGGACAGGCUGCCUUGGGGCACGAGGGAGCAAUAGGACGGUAUUUUUGUGCCGGGCUGGGAAAGUCCCUAAGGUGGCCCGGGGCUUUUCCAGGGCGGUGCCAGCACAGAGGCACAGGGCGAUGUCUCCCUUCCCCCGAGGCGGUGGGAGCCAGCAGAGCAGCGAGCCGGCUGGGAAAUGCUGGGUUUUGUUGCCUGUGAAAUGUGGUCGCCACAGAGGGAAUGGUCGGACUGUUAGAACGGGUUAGAUUUUUUGGUUUUGGUUUGGUUUUGGUUCUCCUUCGGUGCUGCUGCUUUUCGAGGGGAAACAGCUGCGUGCAGAUGUGCACCAGAGAGGAUGGACCCACCUGAGCAGGGUGAGCUGCCUGGGCUCACCUUUCGGAUGGGGAUUGGGAUGGAAAAUUCCCCCGGCACCGCUGCCAUCACCCCGGGCCACCCUGAGCAGGUCCCGGUGCUGCGAUGGAGCCGAAACCCGCAAUCAGCAGCAGAAUAACAAGCCCGGCUGCCUCCCCGGGGGCUCGUUGCUCCCGAGAGGUUCAAUCAGCCCUCAUCGCAUAAAGGAGGGAGGAUAACGCCACUCUCCCCCGGCUGCAUCACUCUCAUUUCCAGUCCUUACCAGCAGAGCAGCACUGCAGGAUCACGGCAGAAGCAGAAGAUGCUGGAGCUCCGUGCGGUGCCCGCUGGUUCGGAGGUGGUUUCCACCGCGGCUGCUGGGAAACACAGCCCGUGGGGGUUUUGUGCCCAGCCAGCGUGGGGGUGAAGGUGCGAGUCGUGAUCCCGCAGCCUUUAAAACUGCUUUGGUCUCCCCGUUUCGGCCAGCCAUUAUUGAUUAUUUUUAGCUGUAAAAGGGGGCAGGGAGGAAUGAGCUGGGACGCAGAGGAUUUGUUAGUUUUGCAGCUGACUGUUGAGAGAUUAACAGACAAACCCCAAGCACUUCGGUAUUGUGUGCUCUUUAUUAUUAAUAUAAACCAGUUUUGCAGUGCUUUGCAGGACACAAAGCUGCCUGCUGCCUGGCUUUCCUCCCACCAGCAGCAGGGUGUGAAGGCCAGUGGCUGGGGCAUCCCUGCUGCAGGGUUUGGUUUGUGUUCUGGAUUUUCCUCCUGCUGCAGAAAGUGGUGGAUGUUCCAGGAAUGGGAUGAGCCUGCCCGUGCCCGACUGAAUGCCAGCCCUCCCACAUCCUCUGGAGUGGGUCCUGAAUCUCCUGGUGUUGAAGAGAUGGCCAUCAGCCCUCUUGCCUGCUGCUGUCCCUCUGGUCUGGGGCAGAAGGGCCAUGUCUGCCCCUGCCAGGACAGAGCAGAGGGGCUGAAUCCCUGCCUGGGGUGACGGCUGCUCUGUCCCUCUCAUCAUGAGCCACUUCACCAAACCCAUCUCACUGAGUUUCAUCUUCUUUUUUGGGUGCAAGCAGCUUUUCCUGGUCACUCUGAGUGGCUGCUCUGAGUCCUUAUGUUGAAGGACCA